AUGCUCCGGGUGUGCCCUGAGGUUCCUUCCUCUUCCUCAUCCUCUCCCCACACACCCCCUCACCCCGCCUCCCUUUCCCUUUCCUGCGCAUUCGCUCAGAACAGGUUUGCACAAGAGGAAGUCACCUGCCAGGGCUUGGAAGGUCUUGAGGUUUGUGCGAGCAGAAGCAAAGAGAUGAGAACAAAAAGAAACGCUGAGCAACUGAAAAGUGGGACAGAGGCAACGAGAAAUAAGCGAACAGAGACAGGAAGAAAAAUACAGAAACAGAGCCAGACUAGCAUGAAAGAGACAGACUAGAAUGAGACAGAUCCAGUCUCCUUCGGUGAGGUUCACUUUACAAGCGACUAACCUCCCCCAAAAUUCCUCCUCGAUGGAAUCGUCCAGAGUCCUCCUAACCACAAAGUCCUUGGGCUAGAACGACCGGAAGCUUACAAGAACGCGGGCGUAAAACUUCCCUCUUGGUCUUCCCGUUCCCACAAUUUCACUCCAUUUCCGGUAACCGCCGGUUGUUGGUGCUGCCCAAGACCUCCGUGGGGGGUGGAGUGGCAACGGCGCUCGCGAAGUUCGAAGACGCUUCGACGGAUGGCCUAGAGCGUCGCCCUUUCUAUUUCCCUCCCCUCCCCCCCAACUGGUGUCUUCCAUUCCGGGGGGGAGGGGGAUAUCCAACCAACGCUACGGCCCUGGCCUUCUUAAGUACCAUAGAGACCCGGACUUUCUGUGCCCGCCCCCUUUUCCGUCUCCGGCACCUUACGGGAGCGCCGCUUUCUAGCUCACUUCCUGUUGGCUGAGGAGGCGAGAGCAAGAGAAGAGAGGAAAGGGAGGGGGCGGGGCAGCCCAAGACAUUAGGAGCCAAGGAGGCCCGGGUGGAAGGAAAUGGGCGUGAGAAGAGGCCGGAAGUAAAGCAAAGGAUACAGGAAGUGAAGGGGAGGAGCUAGAGGCGAGGGGAGGGAGCCAUAUGAGGAGGGGGAAGGGGGAGUUAGGUAGGAUUUGCAUUCAGAACCCGGACAGGGCAAGCAGUCCGGAGGGCCCGAAAUAGUACCGUUUCUCCCUUCAGCAGCGUGGGGCAGGGGGUGGGUGGGAAGAGCUAUUUAUCAAUUAGGCUUUUAAAUUAGAGCUCCUCUCUUCUUGGGGCUAGAAACUGUGUGUGUGAGUUUGUAUGUGUGUGUGUGUGUACGCGCGUGUGCGCCAGUGUGUGGGGGGGGCAGGCCACCUCUGUGGCCCCCGUUGGGAGUGGGGAAGAGAAAGGGAGGCUGGUUGUAGAAUCCAAAAGGAAGACCCUCCCUCUUGCCGGCCUCCCCUUUGUAACC
This 1307-nucleotide long non-coding RNA is filed under the name Phascolarctos cinereus (koala). RNAcentral describes it as "lncRNA (ENSPCIG00000034314.1)". The record is from RNAcentral. Lineage: Eukaryota; Metazoa; Chordata; Mammalia; Diprotodontia; Phascolarctidae.